GCAACUUGAAGCUUCCCUGGAGCGUAGGAGGCUGACGAAUGAUUUUAUACAGGCUAAGGCACUCAGAACCACGAAUUGAUUUGAUCAGAAGCAAGAAACCAUUUCUGGGUCACCAGUCUAUUUAAAUGAGUGGGUCACCAUCAGCACACC
Pristis pectinata (smalltooth sawfish) is the source of this 150-nucleotide long non-coding RNA. RefSeq lists it as uncharacterized. Lineage: Eukaryota; Metazoa; Chordata; Chondrichthyes; Rhinopristiformes; Pristidae. The record is from RefSeq and is a predicted model, not a curated record. The transcript has 3 exons.